GGAGAGGUCGCAUAGCCCGGUCUAGUGCGCGCGACUCGAAAUCGCGUGUGGGCGCAAGUCCACCGGGGGUUCAAAUCCCUCCCUCUCCGCCA
This 92-nucleotide transfer RNA is filed under the name Chloroflexota bacterium. RNAcentral's name for it is "Chloroflexi bacterium (groundwater metagenome) tRNA-Ser". It matches the Rfam family "tRNA". Rfam says of the family: Transfer RNA (tRNA) molecules are approximately 80 nucleotides in length. Their secondary structure includes four short double-helical elements and three loops (D, anti-codon, and T loops). Further hydrogen bonds mediate the characteristic L-shaped molecular structure. tRNAs have two regions of fundamental functional importance: the anti-codon, which is responsible for specific mRNA codon recognition, and the 3' end, to which the tRNAs corresponding amino acid is attached (by aminoacyl-tRNA synthetases). tRNAs cope with the degeneracy of the genetic code in two manners: having more than one tRNA (with a specific anti-codon) for a particular amino acid; and 'wobble' base-pairing, i.e. permitting non-standard base-pairing at the 3rd anti-codon position. Lineage: Bacteria; Bacillati; Chloroflexota. The record is from RNAcentral.